This 874-nucleotide ribosomal RNA is filed under the name uncultured fungus. RNAcentral's name for it is "eukaryotic LSU rRNA". The stretch from base 459 to 874 matches the Rfam family "Eukaryotic large subunit ribosomal RNA", at positions 1 to 415 of the family's 3401-position model. Lineage: Eukaryota; Fungi. The record is from RNAcentral.
CUUGGUCAUUUAGAGGAAGUAAAAGUCGUAACAAGGUCUCCGUAGGUGAACCUGCGGAGGGAUCAUUAAUGAACGGCCUUGGCCUUCAACCUUGUAAACCUGUGGAAGCAAGACGUGCUUCGGUGCUUCGGCGCCGCAUUUAUGCAGCAAAGCGUUUGUCUGAACAAAAGCAAGAAUUAAAACUUUCAACAAAGGAUCUCUUGGCUCUCGCAUCGAUGAAGAACGCAGCGAAGCGCGAAAUGUAGUGUGAAUCGCAGAACAUUGUGAAUCAUCGAAUCUUUGAACGCACAUUGCGCCUCUCUUUACCGAGAGGCAUGCCCGUCUGAGCGUCAUUUGAACCAUAGCCCCGAAAGGGUCUGUCUUGGGCUUCGCCGGUCGGCGUCGCCUCGAAGCGAUCGGUCUAAAGAGCGGACGAGAUCCACUGGGACUUACCGUUUUGCGACCUUAAACCUCCGACUUGACCUCAGAUCAGGUAGGGCUACCGCCUGAACUUAAGCAUAUCAAUAAGGCGAGGAACAGAAACCAACAGGGAUUCCCCUAGUAGUGACGAAUGAAGCGGGAAAAGCUCAAGUUUGAAAUCCGAGGUUUACCUCGGAGUUGUAAGCUGAAGAGGCGUCGAUCGACUCGGUCCGGGCCCAAUUUCCUUGGAACAGGAGGUCGUGGAGGGUGAGAACCCCGUCCGUGGCUCGGGUGCCGUAGUCCUUGUGUCGUGCCCUCGAAGAGUCGGGUUGUUUGGGAAUGCAGCUCAAAAUGGGUGGUAAAUUUCAUCUAAGGCUAAAUAUUGGCGAGAGACCGAUAGCAAACAAGUAGAGUGAUCGAAAGAUGAAAAGUACUUUGAAAAGAGAGUGAAACAGUACGCGAAAUUGUUGAAAGG